RNAcentral lists this ribosomal RNA (406 nucleotides) under uncultured bacterium. Its description in RNAcentral is "partial 16S ribosomal RNA". It matches the Rfam family "Bacterial small subunit ribosomal RNA", at positions 30 to 526 of the family's 1533-position model. The record is from RNAcentral.
AUUGAACGCUGGCGGCAGGCCUAACACAUGCAAGUCGAACGAGUGGCGGACGGGUGAGUAAUGUCUGGGAAACUGCCUGAUGGAGGGGGAUAACUACUGGAAACGGUAGCUAAUACCGCAUACCCUCAGAUGUGCCCAGCUGGGAUUAGCUAGUUGGUGGGGUAACGGCUCACCAAGGCGACGAUCCCUAGCUGGUAUGAGAGGAUGACCCGCCACACUGGAACUGAGACACGGGUCAGACUCCUCCGGGAGGCAGCAGUGGGGAAUAUUGCACAAUGGGCGCAAGCCUGAUGCAGCCAUGCCGCGUGUAGGAAGCAGGCCUUCGGGUUGUAAAGUACUUUCAGCGAGGAGGCGUUACCCGCAGAAGAAGCACCGGCUAACUCCGUGCCAGCAGCCACGGUAAUAC